UGUGUUGUGCGCAGCCCCGUCCGUGAUGCCGUCGACCCUCGCUAGUGGUCGACGCCGCGCUUCGCGCUUGGCUCAUUCGACGAAACGCCAAGCCUUGUGGACAGCCCAUGUGACUAGCCUCGAUUCGUCCAGGUUGUUCACUUGGUAUUUUGUGGAUUAAUCUGUUUAAGCUUGGUCGAUGUUGUGCAUGUGUGUAUAUGUGUAAUAAAAUGUAUUGGUAUGGAUUGAAGUUCGUGGCGAAAGAAAAAGAAGUAGAAAAGAACUCGGAUGUUUUUAUAUUUCGAUAGGAAUUUAUGCGAUGUGUUGUUUGAUGUGUGCAAUUUGUAGUUUGUAUAAGUAUAUUUUGGUCGAUGUGGUGUA
Zea mays is the source of this 360-nucleotide long non-coding RNA. RefSeq lists it as uncharacterized. The record is from RefSeq and is a predicted model, not a curated record. Lineage: Eukaryota; Viridiplantae; Streptophyta; Magnoliopsida; Poales; Poaceae. The transcript has 2 exons.